This 120-nucleotide ribosomal RNA is filed under the name uncultured bacterium. Its description in RNAcentral is "partial 16S ribosomal RNA". It matches the Rfam family "Bacterial small subunit ribosomal RNA", at positions 215 to 334 of the family's 1533-position model. The record is from RNAcentral.
UCACUUACAGAUGGGCCCGCGGCGCAUUAGCUGGUUGGUGAGGUAACGGCUCACCAAGGCGACGAUGCGUAGCCGACCUGAGAGGGUGAUCGGCCACACUGGGACUGAGACACGGCCCAG